AUUGAACGCUGGCGGCAGGCCUAACACAUGCAAGUCGAGCGGGGUGAUGGUGCUUGCACUAUCACUUAGCGGCGGACGGGUGAGUAAUGCUUAGGAAUCUGCCUAUUAGUGGGCGACAACAUCUCGAAAGGGAUGCUAAUACCGCAUACGUCCUACGGGAGAAAGCAGGGGAUCACUUGUGACCUUGCGCUAAUAGAUGAGUACAGGUCGGAUUAGCUAGUUGGUGGGGUAAAGGCCUACCAAGGCGACGAUCUGUAGCGGGUCUGAGAGGAUGAUCCGCCACACUGGGACUGAGACACGGCCCAGACUCCUACGGGAGGCAGCAGUGGGGAAUAUUGGACAAUGGGGGGAACCCUGAUCCAGCCAUGCCGCGUGUGUGAAGAAGGCCUUAUGGUUGUAAAGCACUUUAAGCGAGGAGGAGGCUCUUUUGGUUAAUACCCAAGAUGAGUGGACGUUACUCGCAGAAUAAGCACCGGCUAACUCUGUGCCAGCAGCCGCCGUAA
This 503-nucleotide ribosomal RNA is filed under the name uncultured bacterium. Its description in RNAcentral is "partial 16S ribosomal RNA". It matches the Rfam family "Bacterial small subunit ribosomal RNA", at positions 30 to 523 of the family's 1533-position model. The record is from RNAcentral.